Hordeum vulgare subsp. vulgare (domesticated barley) is the source of this 585-nucleotide long non-coding RNA. RefSeq lists it as uncharacterized. Lineage: Eukaryota; Viridiplantae; Streptophyta; Magnoliopsida; Poales; Poaceae. The transcript has 2 exons. The record is from RefSeq and is a predicted model, not a curated record.
CCUUAUCCUCCACUAUUUCAGGACAGUGCCAUGUAUCCAUCUCAUGGAAUUCAGUCAAAUACAGCCUAACUAAUCAAGCUAGAGGUUGCUUGUUUGACCUGACUGCACCCACGAGGAUAUCGUGUGGUGUACACUAAUCUCUCGCUGCAUAUACUUGUCCAUAAAUACAGCACCCUAGCGAAAUCAAAGUAGUACAACACAAGGCUCUCUAUCAGGAAUUCGAUCAGGAUCAUCGUCCAUCAGUCGAGACCCGAGAGCGCGUGGUUCAGUUCAACAGGCUUCGCAGUACGAGAAUGAGCUCCUCGGACGACUCCUGCGGCAAGAAGGCGUCAUGGCCGGAGCUGGUUGGGAUGUCCAUCGAGGAGGCGAAGAAGAUCAUCAUGAAGGACAGGCCAGACGUGAAGAUCAUCGAGGUCUUCCCAGUCGGCACCGCGGUCACCGAGGACUUGAGGUUCGACCGUGUCCGCAUCUUCGUCAACACAGUUGCGGAGAUCCCCCGCAUUGGCUAGCUUCGCUUCUUGCUCGAUUCGGUUGACGUGUGUUUGUGUUUGUGUUUGUUAUAUUCCUGAAUAAACCAUAGCUGGA